CGGAGGGAUCAUUAAAGAGUUCUAUAACUCCCAAACCCAUGUGAACAUACCUAACGUUGCCUCGGCAGGUCGCACCUACCUUGUAGCACCCUACCCUGUAGGGCCUACCCGGGAGGUGCGGGUAAGCCUGCCGGCGGCCCACCAAACUCUGUUUGAUAUUGAAUUCUGAACCUAUAACUAAAUAAGUUAAAACUUUCAACAACGGAUCUCUUGGUUCUGGCAUCGAUGAAGAACGCAGCGAAAUGCGAUAAGUAAUGUGAAUUGCAGAAUUCAGUGAAUCAUCGAAUCUUUGAACGCAUAUUGCGCCCAUUAGUAUUCUAGUGGGCAGGACCGUUCGAGCGUCAUUUCAACCCUUAAGCCUUCGUUGCUUAGUGUUGGGAGCCUACGGCAACGUAGCUCCUCAAAGUUAGUGGCGGAGUUGGUUCACACUCUAGACGUAGUAAUUUUUUAUCUCGCCUAUUAGUUGGACUAAUCCCCUGCCGUAAAACCCCCAAUUUAUCAAGGUUGACCUCGAAUCGGUUCAGACAAACUCGCUAAAUUGAAGCAUCUUAGUCAGCGAAGGAAAAGAAACCAACAGGGAUUGCCCUAGUAACGGCGAGUGAAGCGGCAACAGCUC
RNAcentral lists this ribosomal RNA (616 nucleotides) under fungal endophyte. Its description in RNAcentral is "eukaryotic LSU rRNA". The stretch from base 191 to 344 matches the Rfam family "5.8S ribosomal RNA". Lineage: Eukaryota; Fungi. The record is from RNAcentral.